UGGUGGAGUGAUUUGUCUGGUUAAUUCCGUUAACGAACGAGACCUCGACCUGCUAAAUAGUUCGGCGAACUCUUCUGGGUUUGAUUCCGUAACUUCUUAGAGGGACUAUCGGUGCGUAGCCGACGGAAGUUCGAGGCAAUAACA
Molecule: ribosomal RNA, 144 nt
Filed under: uncultured eukaryote
Lineage: Eukaryota
Description: partial 18S ribosomal RNA
Rfam family: Eukaryotic small subunit ribosomal RNA
Source: RNAcentral